RNAcentral lists this ribosomal RNA (497 nucleotides) under uncultured bacterium. Its description in RNAcentral is "partial 16S ribosomal RNA". It matches the Rfam family "Bacterial small subunit ribosomal RNA", at positions 28 to 507 of the family's 1533-position model. The record is from RNAcentral.
GAUGAACGCUGGCGGCGUGCCUAAUACAUGCAAGUCGAGCGAACAGACGAGGAGCUUGCUCCUCUGACGCUAGCGGCGGACGGGUGAGUAACACGUGGAUAACCUACCUAUAAGACUGGGAUAACUUCGGGAAACCGGAGCUAAUACCGGAUAAUAUAUUGAACCGCAUGGUUCAAUAGUGAAAGACGGUUUUGCUGUCACUUAUAGAUGGAUCCGCGCUGCAUUAGCUAGUUGGUAAGGUAACGGCUUACCAAGGCAACGAUGCGUAGCCGACCUGAGAGGGUGAUCGGCCACACUGGAACUGAGACACGGUCCAGACUCCUACGGGAGGCAGCAGUAGGGAAUCUUCCGCAAUGGGCGAAAGCCUGACGGAGCAACGCCGCGUGAGUGAUGAAGGUCUUCGGAUCGUAAAACUCUGUUAUUAGGGAAGAACAAAUGUGUAAGUAGCUAUGCACGUCUUGACGGUACCUAAUCAGAAAGCCACGGCUAACUACGUG